CUGUAAACCAAGGAAUCCAGGUGGUCUCUAUAAUCCUGAAAAGAAAUCAUGAAAUGAUCACACCAUGAAACCAAAAGAAACCAGCACCAGCAUAGAAGAGUCACAAAGGAUAGAGGGCUUCUCAUUUGUCACUGCUUUCCAUGAACGAAAGGAUCAGGCGCAGUUCAACAUUGUCACUUAUAAUAAGCUCCUUGACCAUGGAAACCUGAUACACA
Non-coding RNA from Microcebus murinus (gray mouse lemur), 215 nucleotides. The record is from RefSeq and is a predicted model, not a curated record. NCBI's taxonomy places the organism in Eukaryota, Metazoa, Chordata, Mammalia, Primates, Cheirogaleidae.